GACCGUUCGUCUAGCAGGUCAGGACGUUGCCCUUUCACGGCAAAGACAUGGGUUCAAAUCCCAUACGGUUCA
RNAcentral lists this transfer RNA (72 nucleotides) under Calditrichota bacterium. RNAcentral's name for it is "Calditrichaeota bacterium (activated sludge metagenome) tRNA-Glu". It matches the Rfam family "tRNA". From Rfam's summary of the family: Transfer RNA (tRNA) molecules are approximately 80 nucleotides in length. Their secondary structure includes four short double-helical elements and three loops (D, anti-codon, and T loops). The record is from RNAcentral. Lineage: Bacteria; Pseudomonadati; Calditrichota.